Molecule: long non-coding RNA, 1159 nt
Organism: Nicrophorus vespilloides
Lineage: Eukaryota; Metazoa; Arthropoda; Insecta; Coleoptera; Silphidae
Exons: 3
Source: RefSeq, a predicted model, not a curated record
ACUUAAGUAACAAUGCACAUUAAUUAUAUAAGAAAUGUGUGAUUUUUGCUCUUAUUUGUUGGUUAAGUUAUGGUCUAAGCAAGUAUCAGGUAGUUUUCACUCAUGGAUCUGUUACGUUUCGUGGAAUCGCAUGGGACAGAUGAGUAUAAUUAAAUGAUCCGGAAAGGCGUCCACGUCCAUUGUCAAUUCUAAUGCGAUAAGCGAGAGUCUCGUGUUGCAAAUAUAUGAAUAUAUGAAGGGAAAAAUCGUCGAUGACAGGAGGACAAAGAAAGAAAAGAAGAAAUCCAUUGUGGUUAGGUCGUGUCCUUUUCAGAAAAAAAAAAAUUCCAUCGCCGGAAAUUUGACACAAGGGAAAGGUUCGGUUCAUUAUGCAAUUAGAUUAAUCAACGUUUAUCUAAUUACGCGCAUUUUGUGUUCGUAGUAUUAAGUGAAUGAUGAUGAUGGAACAUCCUCUGCAACGCAUCCUCUCGAAAAUAAAAUCUAGAGUGUGUAGUAGAGAUUGAGAGAAAUUCGGGUUGGUAAUCCGUGUCUUAUCUGACCGGUCCCAUCAGGAAUACAAGGAAUAAUCAUAAUAGCGAGACGUGUCCUCCUAUUUUGGGAACACUUUAGUGAACAUGGCACGAUUCUCCUUCGCUCCGUGUUGUGUAUCCUUUUACCACCGAGCAUUACUCGAUUACGAUCUAGUGUGUUUCUCUUUCUUUUAUUUUUUUUUGUUGUUGUCCUCCGCAGUGAAUACAAUAUAAUCCGCGACACCGAAUAUCCUCCAUCCCUCUCUUUAUCUUCGUCCACUUACUUACUGGGUCUCGCCCCAAUUCCACCUCUUGUUGUUUCGUGUUGAUCCUUCUGCUGACAAGAGAUACGGUUUGCCUUUUGAAUUUAAUUGAGCGCACACAAUCUUGAUCCUCGAUAGAAGGAUGGAUGGAUGGACCCGCGUCGACCUGUCAAAUCCGAUCCAGAGGAUAAUCUCCUUCGUCACAAAAAUCUCACUCGAUAUUAUUCAUCUCAUUUACCUCCAUUACGCAUUUUCCAACUAUAUCUGAUCGUUGUUCAUCUCAUUCCAACAUUAAUACCAUUAUAAUUUCAUUUAAAAACUUAUACAAAAGAUUUCCAAUCUUUACGUAAUUCAUAAAAAAAACUUACAUAAAUAACCCAAACGACU